GUUGUGAACCAGCGGAGGGAUCAUUA
Molecule: ribosomal RNA, 26 nt
Filed under: Trichoderma hamatum
Lineage: Eukaryota; Fungi; Ascomycota; Sordariomycetes; Hypocreales; Hypocreaceae
Description: partial 18S ribosomal RNA
Source: RNAcentral